RNAcentral lists this long non-coding RNA (3452 nucleotides) under Nicotiana benthamiana. RNAcentral's name for it is "long non-coding RNA (NBEN_LNC007175)". The record is from RNAcentral. Lineage: Eukaryota; Viridiplantae; Streptophyta; Magnoliopsida; Solanales; Solanaceae.
CAAAACAUGAAUCUAGUGUCACGACCAUGAGCCUCUAAAUAUAGAGUUACCAUCCUAUACAAGUCUGUCUAGAAGUAGAAAUACAAAAUGUAAAGAUAGCGAUAGGGGGAGAAAUCUAAGGCUGCGAAUGCCGUCCAGCUACCUCGAUACUCCGGGAAGCUAACUCUGCUGAUCAACUGAAACUAAUCGGAAUGAGAAGAACCUGGAUCUGCACGCAAGGUGCAGGGAGUAAAGUGAGUACUCUGACCCAUAAGUAAUAAACAUAAAUAUAGUUCAAAAGUAAGAAAACAUAGAAAAUGCACAAAGUAAUCCAUAUCUAGCAGUUUGAAUCAAUAUUGGCGAAAACAGUAAACAACAUGUAAUACAAUUAAGGAAAUAAUACAUGAAAGAUGCAACACAUAUGACGGCACACUCUAGUACCCGCUGCGGCCUGCAACCCACUCCAUUUAUUUAUCAUCAGCAACGCUUACUAGGGGUGUGUACAGAUUGUGGAUGGGCUCCUACAGCCCAAGCGCAAUAUAAGCCAUCUCGUGGCAUCAAAUAGGCUCUCGGCAUCAAUAUCAAUAUAUCAUUGCUGCAGCGCACAGCCCAAUCCAUAUCAGAGGAAAAGCAUCCUCGCUAUCGGGUCCUCGACACAUAUCAAUCAAAUAAUGUAGGGAUCUCUUAUUUUCAUUUCAUUUAGUGUUCAAAAUAUAGUUCUUAUCAUCUUUUGAAACAGAUAAAAUCAUGGUUUAGAAUAUAAUGUAGGCAAAAAAGUGAGGAAAAUACAUAAGGAUCCCCUAAGGAUUCAACAGGUCGGUACAAGGCCCCAAACAUAGCAAUAAGCCCAAUUCUCAGUAAUAAAGUAUGCGUCUCAAUCGCCAAUACAGUAGAAAUAAAGCUUGAGAUGGACCAAGUCAUAAUCUCCAACAGUAAUUGACCCACAUUCAUCAUAGAAUACAUGCCACGCCUUAAUAUAGCGUUACGAUGUGAAAGUCCGGGUUUUCAAAACCUCAAAGCAGCAUUUACAUGUAUUACUCACCUCUAGCCGGUCAAAAAUUGGCUUGCAAUGCACUUUCCUCUUGAAUUGACCUUCUCGCUCAUCGUAUCUGGCCAAAACCACAAUAAAUACAUUACAAUAAGCUAAGGGAAUAUAACCCAAUCGAAAAGACUCGAGAAUAUCGAAAAUCACAAAAUUUGCAAAACCCGAGCCCAAGCCCACUUCUCGAAAGUAAGAAAUUUUUACACCAAAAUGUUCCUUAUCUUGCCACGAGUCUAUACAUAUCAAAUUCACAAGAAUCGGAGUCCAUUUGACUCAUCAAAUCCCUAGUUUAAACUUUAUUAAGCUUCAAGCCUCUAACCUCCAUUUUAACCUUUAAUUCAUUAGUUUUUAGUCUUAAUCAAUGAUUUUACACCAUAAUAACAUAUUCUAAGUCCAAGAAUCCAUACCUGAUGAAAGCCCUCGAAACCCUAUUCAAAAUAGCCCAUAACCCUCUUAGUCCGAGGUGGAAAUGUUGUGUUCUUUCAAAAAUCCGCGAAGGUCAAAUUAAAUGGUUCUGUCCUGACAUUUUGGCUUCUGCGGUCUAACUACCACACCUGCGACUACCGCUUUUGCGGUCUUCCUACCUCUCCUACGAUUCCCUAUUAAAAAUCUAAAACCGCUUAUGCGGCUAAAUGUCUGUUCUAGCGGAACUGCUUCAGCGGCCAGGUUUCCGCUUUUGUGGAACCUGCCCUGAGCACCACUUUCGCUUCUGCGCCCCCAUCGACCACUUCGGUGAGACUGCACUUGCGGUCCUAAAACCGCGAGUGCGAAAAUACCAGGUGCCAGAAAAGUUAAGUAAUCUCUCAAGUCCAUUCACCUCGUUAGCCAUCAGAAAACAGGCCCUUGGGAUCUCAACCAAAAAUAUAGAUGUGACCCAAUACCUUAUUCAAACUUGCUCGAAUCAUCAAAACACUACGGUUAGUACCCAAAAUCAUCAAAUUUCAUCAAAGCAAGGCCUAAGUUCAACCAAAAAUUCCGAAACUCACAUUCGAUGAAAAAUCCAACCUAAACACCCCCAAUUUAACUAAAAUUUUGCACACGCAUUCCAAAUCACCUAAUAAAGCUACUGCAACUAUCGGAAUCUCAUUCCGACCAUCGGAUCAAUAUCUCGUCUACCAACCGGAUUUCGCCAAAAUUCUAACUUCGCCAAAAUAUGCUAACUUCUACACCGAACCUCCAAAAUCACUUCCGAUUGCGCUCCAAGGCCUCAAAUCAUCCCCCGAAGCUAACCGAAUCAUCAGAAAUCACAUACGAGCCCUCUAACUCACAAGUCAACUUCCUGUUGACUUUUUCAAACUAACCUUUUUUUAAAGAGACUAUAUGUCACAUUUCCUAUCGAACUCAAUCCGAAUCAAUUCAAACUCAUCAAACACAUAUAAUGAAACAUGAAGAGGCAUAAAACGGGGAAAACAUGACAGAAAUACAUGAGACGACAGAUCCGGUCGUCACACAUUAUCUGGGUAUUGGAUUUUAUUUCCCAACCAACAAAUUAAAUAAUUGCACAUUUUAAGUUUGAGCAGUUAGUACUCAUAGCAUUUUUAUGAAGGAUUACACUUAAAAGAGAAAAGGAUAUUCCCUAUACAAACUACAAGUGGAAAUGCAUUCUAGUUGUGAACUAACACUUCCUAUGACAAAUACAAGAUUGGGAAAAUGGAUCCUACUAAUUUACACCUGUCUUUGCAGAAAAUAUGUAGCAAAGCUGUAAAUGCGUCUGAAAUUAGGGCGAGAUCUUUGAUUCUUUUCGAGGAAUUUGUUGGCUAUUGAUGCAAGUCUUUGAGCUUUUAAUAACUUAUCAGUCACUGAUUGAAGGUAGGACACUGACUUUUGGUGUGCAAUGUAUUUAGGAAAAAAUUGAACUAGCAUUGUGCCAAAGCACCGUGGAUGAGUCUGAAAUUUCGCCAAAUGAUGAUGUUGGUAAGGUGUUUGGAAAAGAGUACUAUGAAAGGGUAAGGUGCUUGGGAUUAGGAGUUGUUCCUGGUAGAGCGUUUAGACAAACAAAACCUCAUUAUAGUGAUUUGAAUGCUUCAAGUUAUAAUAAUGGUUCAUGUUCUUCCCAAUACCAAGAGAAAUAUACAAUCUAAUGUUGAAUGAUCACGUUCAAAGCCAAAAGAACUAUAGAGAAAUGAUGAAUAUUAACACUCAAAUGAUGAAUGCUUUUAAGGCGUAUAUGAUAAUGAAAGAAGAGAGGAUACCUAAAGAAUUUGCAGCAAUCUUUGUUUCUCAUCCUCAUUCAACGGUAAGUAAAGUUCAUAACUAUCUUAUUUUGAAAACUUUUGUGCUAUGUGAUGUUUGACUCUUUUUCUCACUUUCUUCACUCCGAUAUCUACACAUGCGUUCUCAUCAAAUGUGCAUUUUUUUUUAUCUUUCAUGUUGUUCUAAAAGGUAGUAUCCCAAGGCUUAAUGAGUAGCUUAUUAAAACUAGACGAUACUC